Anas platyrhynchos (mallard) is the source of this 6534-nucleotide long non-coding RNA. RefSeq lists it as uncharacterized. The record is from RefSeq and is a predicted model, not a curated record. Lineage: Eukaryota; Metazoa; Chordata; Aves; Anseriformes; Anatidae.
AAAGAAAUAGCUGUCAACUAGUUUUUCGUAAGAAUUUAUUUUAUGUCCUUCUGUUGUUCAUUAAUAUAUGCAAAUUCAUGUCUUGGGAUGGUCAUUAUUUUUUAUUUGUCAUAUACAUUGAUCCAAUUGGAAAAUCACAGAAAGAAACAGUCAUCAGAUUACUGAUUAUGUGAUAUUACUUUCUCUGUCUGGUUUCAGGGCAGAUCACUACUUUCCAGUUGCAGAGCUAUCUGUCCUUUAAACUGAAUAAAUUCUGCCUUUGUCCCACAGCAAUGAAAGAAAUCUUCACACAUCUACACAGUCAUUCAUAGCUUACAUCUCCUUGUCCUUUCUCAAAUCACUGCUAAAACAUCCUCAAUAGACUUUGGGUUCUUGCUUAUUUCCCUUAACUAGGGAACAGGAAAACUACAAAACUGGCAACUUCAGGCAUAUCUAGCAACUUGCUCCCAUAAUUCUGAUGGAAAAUUUGUAAUAUAGUGACCCAUUUUUAUAUGGUUGCUUUCCAGUGGCAAUAAAGGGCUCACCAUUCAAUUACAAGGUUACAAAAGCUGUCAUCGAGGUCAUUUAGUUGACAACUAAAUUUUUGACAGGCCAGCUAUACCAAAUGAGGUCCUGAAAUGAUAUCAGUUUUGAGUAGCAUGUUUAGAUAUGGCAAAUUCCAUUAAUAUGUUACAGAUAUUCAAAAAUAGUGAUUUAUUAGCACAGAGUAACAAAUUACUACUGAGCUUUUUGUUGUAAAGAAAAAAUAAGAAUACUUUCCCUCAAAAUAAUUUUGGCUACAUAAAAAUAUUCCAAGAGAGGAAGAAGAGGGGAAGGAGGACAGGUUGUCAAGCACCAUGAUUUUAAGUAUGAAUGAACUCGAUAAAAAUUGGCUGUUAUAGCCAAUACGUUUUAAAAUGAAAGCAUUUUGGGACUUUCAGCUUUGUCACUUUUAAUUACUUUUAUAUAUAUAUAUAUAUUUAUAUAUAUAUAUGUUUAUUACACACACACACACACAUAAACACACUUAUUUUCCAUAGUUUUAAUUUCUUUUGUAUUAAUUGUGCCAUAGUUGGAUGAGGAGCUAGAGUGACAAGCAAAUGUAUUUCACAUCAGAGCAGCAAAGCUGUGCAAAUUUUGCUCUCCAACCGUGUUUUCCAUUAAAAAAAAAUAUUUACUUUGUACUAGUUUACAUAUGUCCAAAAUGAUUGGAAGAACAUCAGAUUCACAUAAGUGGUGCAACUCUUGUUGCACUUUAAGCAUGAUUUGUGGCCUAAUUUUGCAACAGUAAACAGUGUACCAAGGCCACAGAGAUCUCAGACUCCAGUUUCAGUUCCCCUGUUGUGCAUGCUGUUUAUCUAAGAUUAUUUAACACUACUUUGUUUGAUAUUGAUCACUAGCACAAACAUAGGCAAACUUCAAAGUCAAAAUUAAUUGGAGAAGUUUAAAUGCUUAGUGAGGAAAAAUGUACAAUAAUCUUUUCUUCUUUUUUACCUCAUUUGUCAAAAGUAUUUGCUAAUAUCAUUUGUUACAGAAUCUGUGAUUUCUACAUUUUUUAGUUCAACUUAAAAAAAAAAAAAUCUGGACUUAGAAUGGAUUACAUCUGAUGUUGCUAACAUUUCCUGGAAGUGGAAAACUGUGAUAACAGCUGCUGUCUUGGCUCAUUUUCAGUUGCUGUUUUUCGGUGGAUUCUUUUUUUAUUGGUUUUGAUGGUGGUUUUUUUUUUUUUUUUGUUUUUUACUGCAGCAAUUUACAAGUAGUUACAGCUAUCUACAGUAGGCUUGCGUCAUUAGUAAAACAUUGUAAGUCAGUCAAAUGUUUCCUUUCCAAUCUGAGUGCUUCCUCCACUUACUGAAUUGUUGACUUUCUGAAUAGUAUUUACAGUAAUAACACUUGCAUUCUAAAAUAAAUGCUAAUUUAUGAAAUAAGCUAAAAGCUAGCUGCAUACAGAAGAUAACAGUAGAAAGAAUCUAUAUUUUAUGUUAAAAUGCAAUGCCUCUAAUGAGAAUUUUAAAAAUCUUGUAAGCAUCUUAUUUAGACAGACAAUACCCAGCAAAUUUAUAUCAAAUGUAUAAAGUGUUUUGUUGGUUGUUUUUUGGUUUUGUUUUAUAAAACUUAUGAUGAGCAGAAAGUUCUGUAUACUAGUAUUCUUAAUUCCAUGCAUACAUGAUUUCUCCUUGGAUUGAAAUUUCCUUCUGCAAUCUUUGCAGUAUUGUAGCAUUGUGAAGUGAUAAACAUUCAGCACUAGUGAUGAAAAAUAGAAUGAGGAGCCAAGUAAAGCAAGAGACAAAGAACUCUAAAUGCUGAUAGUGACAAAAAAAAAAAAAAAAAAAAAAAGGUUUGUGUAUAUUCAAAGUUUGCCCUCCUUAAGGUUUAUUAUUACUUCCAGCUUUAAUGUUUUAAUGUGUUUUGAAAGAUACGUGUUUUUGUUGUGUUGUUGUUGCUUUUUCAAAUGAUGUUUUCAUAGUAUCAAGAGUGUUAACAAAUUUUUAUUAGUUUUUCAUUCAAAUCUGUGCUUCUUUCUUCUGUAUAUGAUUAAGCUUCCAAAAACAAUGUUAUAUAAGCAGGAUAGUGUCUGUUUCUAUGCCAAAAGCUUGGUUUUGCUUUGUAUCAAAACAGACAACAGUUCUCCCCGUGAAGCAACUUCAGCAAAUCCAUCUUCACCAAAUAUGUUUUAAUAUUUAAAGAACACUUCCCUUCAUCACAUAUUAAAUGGCUGGUGAAGAGCCAUGCCAGCUCAAGGACCUCUGCACCAUUUCUGGUUCUGGGAUUACUGUGCACUGAGCAACUUCAGUUUUUGAGAUUUGGGACCAGCCUGUGUGAGGCCAGUUUGUGCUUCUGUGUGCACAUAAUCUAGACACGUCCUAAGAAACAUCCAAAAUUGGUGUCCAUGUUGCUGUGAGCCUUCAGGAAUGGAAGACAGAAUUUUAUGUCUGUGUUGGUAAUGACUCAAAGUUGUAAUCUCCGUGUGCCUCGUCCUUUACUUGAGUAAAAUGAACCCUCUGUUUCUUAGCCAGUGACCCUCCAUUUCUUGGCAUCCUGUAACUUUUCACAGACUUGCAAUUAAAUGAGCAAGGAGACCAAGCUACCUCAUCCUUCCUGGAGCUGGCAAUUUCAAAGCAGAACUAUGAGUCAGGGUGGCAGGAGCGGUGCAAAGGAGUCCUGCCUCCUGCUGCACUGACUCAUCAGGGGCUUUCACUUUCCGCCCCGGUCAGGAAGCCAACAUCUUUUAUGGCAAUUAAACUAAUCCUAACAAGAGGACUUUGAGAAAUUUAUUAAGCUCUGAACUCUACCUGAGCAGCAAAGUUAUGAGAUGUGAACCCUGACACACAUACAUGCCAAUCAGUAUAUUAUGUCAGUGAGCUUUCAUUUAUGUUUUGAUGCCAACUCCUGGAAGGGAUAAAGUCCUGAAAUUUGACACAAAAUAUAUUCAUGCUAGUUUGUACUGCUUAACUGUAUGUUAUUCUAUGAUAGGCUUUUUUUUGGUAGAAAUAUGAUUCCAUACUGAGUAAUACAUCUGCACACUGCAAUACCUUCAUUGUUGUUUUUUGAAGAAAAAGUCUUAUGCAGUUAGUGGUUAGCAUGUUGGAUUAAUGUAAUCAUUUUAAUUGAUGAAAUGGCCUGUUGGUUUGACUAGGAUGAACUGAGGUAGCAGUUCAGAAGUGGUUUUUACCAUAGUUAAAUUUCACCAUUAGUAGUACAUUCAUCGUCUAUAACAAAAAGUGCAAAUGCAUGAUUUGUGUCUAAUAUUUUCCAUGACUUGGGGCAAGUCACUUUACCUUUCAGUAUGUCUGUUUCUCAAUAUUCAAAAAGGGAGAGAUGAUGCCUAUCUUUCCAAGUAGCUUUAGGGAUUUAUAUCCAAGAAAGAAAGAAAGAAAGAAAGAAAGAAACAAACAAACAAACAAACAACAAAACAGCAGCCAACCAAUCUCUCUAUUGUUUGUUAACUAAUAGUAGUUUAAAAAUUUCUGCCUCUUGUUCUUAGAUAAACCCUCUUGCUCCAAGAAAAAAAUAAAUCUAUGUGGUUAUAUAUGUGUUUAUAAGUUCACCUGUAAAGAAUAAAGAAAUGGCCUUUGAAUUACAAUUUGAUUACAAAAAAAAAUAAAGUUUAACCUGGGGACAUGGGGCUUUCUUCCCAGUGUCUUCAGAAAUCUCUUUUAUGUUUCUGUGCUCCAACACUAAGCAUUCCUCAGAUAUUUAGCAUCCAGGGAAAUUCCGAUAUCCCAAGAUCUACAACGUUCCUACACCAAUAGGUGUAUUCAAUGUCUAUACAAUAGGUGUAUAUAAAUGAAAACUCCAGUUUGAAUCUGUGCUUUCCAUGAAACAGAGCCACCAUCAGGAGCACGAUCUAUUAUCUGUGACUUACAGAAAGGUACUUUGACUUAUUUGGGAGAAACCCCAUUUGAGAUCUGGCCUGCCUCAAAGUGAAAUCUAAUAAUCUGAAAGAAUAUCUAGGCCACUUUCAGAUGCUAACAAAUGUCUAGAGGUACGAAUAGGUCUUCCUGAGCUUUAACAGUUGAUUUACUUUUCUUGUCCACCCUAGGACUUAAAAACUGCCCUGUGAAGCUCUUAAUGCUUUGAGAAAAACUUGCCUAUCCUUCUUUAAUGCAAUACAAUUUAAAAUUUGUAGUAUUACCAUAGUAAAUUUUUAAAAAUGAAAUGCAAUACAUAUAACACUAGAUUUUCUUUAAUGUCCUGAAUCACAAAUAGAAGCAUGUCUAGACUCAAAUGCAAACCACGUUUUAUAGCACAACUCAAAUCCUCCUCCGUUCCCUGCCAAAUGCUGAGUUCAGUCCCUGCAGGUCUGAGCAGGGUUUCCUCAGCUACAGCGGCUGGCACCAUGAGUGCUUAUGGCAGAGCAGGGAGUGCCGCUGCUCGCCUUGGUGUGCUGGCUGGUUUCAUCAGCCAGCGCAGGUCUUGACAGGUGCAGAGCCUUCCACCUCGCUUUUCAGGGCCGUGGAGCCCUUGGUGCAGGAUUUAGGAGACUGGGAACUAACGUUUUGGUCCAGAAAGGGAAAACAAGAUAUUUUCCUGAUUGUAAUCCUCUAGAUCUGCAAGCACUGCUUCAGUGAGCUUCUUCUAAAUGCAAUAACAACAUUUGCUCUGAAAAGAGUUCUUGAUGCAUGAUGAAUUUGCCAGACAUUUCACUUUGAGACCAAGAUAUGACAAAUGUGCUUUCUCGCAUUUUCAUGUUGAUUUAUUCUCCCUCACAAAGGACAACUUCAUAAAGAGCUUGAAUCAGAUCCACGUUCACACUUUACAUAUGCAACAUUUUUGUGGCUGACAAAGUUGGCUCCUCAUGCAAACUAGCUUGGAACUGAAGUCAAAUCAGAGAAGGGCAUGCCGAGAUCGCUACACUUCAGUAGCUAUUUUUUCCAACUAAUCAUCAUUAUUAUGACUAGAUAUUUACCCUUAGGUGCAUUGAGCAGAUCACUCUGACUCAUCCGUUCAUUGGAUGUUGUCCUGUUGGGUUAAUCAUUAUCUUUUUGUCUGAAAGAUUUUUUAAUUCCUCUAACUGCCUGGGAUAGCUAUUUUGGUACUUACCAGGUGACCUCAGUGCUGACACAGCCUUUCUGGUAUUGUUGGUUGUAACUUGUGUCAUGACCUUAAUGUGAAUUAUGGCUGUCUUGAGGAUACAAACCUUCAUGUAGCACAGAUGGUCUGUAGGAAAAAGAUGUUAAUGAAGGUCUGUACAUCACACAUUGUCUUCCCUUGCAGACUAUUUCCUUUACCAUUGCCUCAUUCUUGUGGGCACCUUUUAAUCAAGCUUCUAAGGUAUAAUUUAUUGUACAGACUAUGCUCUAAUAAAAAAGACUACAACACGGGAUUCUGGAAGAUGCCUUUGCUACCAGCAUUAUCACUGCAUCUUGUUGGCCUCCAAACUUGCUUAGUUCUCCAUUAUGCAUUGUAUCACCAUUACUUCCAGAGAGUAGAUUUUUUUACUACUUCUUUGAAAGAAUGAUGAAAGCUGUGUAAGCUCAUUAACAGAGCAUGUGUGUAGGCUUAAAAUUACAGAUAAUAGACAAAUGGUUGGAAAGUCAGUAAUUCCUUUACGUAUUUGCCAAGACUUGGGUCAAAGUUCAGAGUUUCCUUUGCUCAAACUGGUGAAAUCAGAAACACCUCCAGGUGUUUUGGGGAGUGUUGGCAGUGCACAUGCAACACAGGUGAGGAGGCACAGUUGAUCUCAGGUGUUUUCUGCAAGAGCAAACCAUGUCUAGUCUAAAUUGCACUCAAUUUUAAUGUGCUUUACUUUUUGCAUAAUAUAUUUUGUAUAAGCUAAUUCAAAGCCAUAAGCUAUUUUAUUUAAGAGCUCUUGUUUUCUAUGCACUCUCAGAAUCUAUUAUUUCUAACAUUACAAUCAAUUCAUUGUAGUCAAUGUUGAUAUCACAACCCUGGCUUCUCACACACACGAAACGAAUGGUUAAUUUAUAGGAAACUGUCUGUGUCUUUAGGAGUAAUCAUCACAAAGUAUUUAAUGUCUUUCUACUCUGAAGCCCAGUUCUUUUACGUCACAUCUGCAUUUGUGUAAACAUUAAAAAAAAAAAAAAAAAAAAA